This 433-nucleotide ribosomal RNA is filed under the name uncultured bacterium. RNAcentral describes it as "partial 16S ribosomal RNA". It matches the Rfam family "Bacterial small subunit ribosomal RNA", at positions 29 to 507 of the family's 1533-position model. The record is from RNAcentral.
AACGAACGCUGGCGGCAUGCCUAACACAUGCAAGUCGAACGAGACCUUCGGGUCUAUUGGCGCACGGAUGCGUAACGCGUGGGAACCUGCCCUUAGGUUCGGAAUAACUCCCCGAAAGGGGUGCUAAUACCGGAUAAUGUCUUCGGACCAAAGAUUUAUCGCCUUUGGAUGGGCCCGCGUUGGAUUAGCUAGUUGGUAGGGUAAAAGCCUACCAAGGCGACGAUCCAUAGCUGGUCUGAGAGGAUGAUCAGCCACACUGGGACUGAGACACGGCCCAGACUCCUACGGGAGGCAGCAGUGGGGAAUAUUGGACAAUGGGCGAAAGCCUGAUCCAGCAAUGCCGCGUGAGUGAUGAAGGCCUUAGGGUUGUAAAGCUCUUUUACCCGGGAUGAUAAUGACAGUACCGGGAGAAUAAGCACCGGCUAACUCCGUG